GGCCAAGUAGUUCAGUCGGUUAGAACGCCGGCCUGUCACGCCGGAGGUCGAGGGUUCAAGUCCCUUCUCGGUCGCCA
Molecule: transfer RNA, 77 nt
Filed under: Eubacteriales bacterium
Lineage: Bacteria; Bacillati; Bacillota; Clostridia; Eubacteriales
Also listed under: 1 other name
Description: tRNA-Asp
Rfam family: tRNA
About the family: Transfer RNA (tRNA) molecules are approximately 80 nucleotides in length. Their secondary structure includes four short double-helical elements and three loops (D, anti-codon, and T loops). Further hydrogen bonds mediate the characteristic L-shaped molecular structure. tRNAs have two regions of fundamental functional importance: the anti-codon, which is responsible for specific mRNA codon recognition, and the 3' end, to which the tRNAs corresponding amino acid is attached (by aminoacyl-tRNA synthetases). tRNAs cope with the degeneracy of the genetic code in two manners: having more than one tRNA (with a specific anti-codon) for a particular amino acid; and 'wobble' base-pairing, i.e. permitting non-standard base-pairing at the 3rd anti-codon position.
Source: RNAcentral